GACGAACGCUGGCGGCGUGCUUAACACAUGCAAGUCGAACGGAAAGGCCUGCUUUCCCUUGUGGAUUGCGGGUACUCGAGUGGCGAACGGGUGAGUAACACGUGAGUGAUCUGCCCCCAACUUGGGUAUAAGCCUGGGAAACUGGGUCUAAUUCCCGAUAGGACUGCAGGGUGGUGCCUGUGGUGGAAAACGAUUUUCUAGUGGUUGGGGAUGAGCUCGCGGCCUAUCAGCUUGUUGGUGGGGUAAUGGCCUACCAAGGCGGCGACGGGUAGCCGGCCUGGGAGGGUGGACGGCCACAUUGGGACUGAGAUACGGCCCAGACUCCGACGGGAGGCAGCAGUGGGGAAUAUUGCACAAUGGGCGGAAGCCUGAUGCAGCGACGCAGCGUGGGGGAUGACGGCCUUCGGGUUGUAAACUCCUUUCGACCGCGAGGAAGCCACCUGGUUGGAAGGGUGGUGACGGUAGUGGUAGAAGAAGCACCGGCUAACUACGUG
This 494-nucleotide ribosomal RNA is filed under the name uncultured bacterium. RNAcentral's name for it is "partial 16S ribosomal RNA". It matches the Rfam family "Bacterial small subunit ribosomal RNA", at positions 28 to 507 of the family's 1533-position model. The record is from RNAcentral.